This is a long non-coding RNA of Selaginella moellendorffii, 332 nucleotides long. RefSeq lists it as uncharacterized. The record is from RefSeq and is a predicted model, not a curated record. The transcript has 2 exons. NCBI's taxonomy places the organism in Eukaryota, Viridiplantae, Streptophyta, Lycopodiopsida, Selaginellales, Selaginellaceae.
UGUAGGAAGGAGUGGAAGACACGCUUUAUAUUGCUGGGGAUGGGGAAUAUCUAUCACAGGAUGUUGAUCCCGAGAUGCCGAGCUGUUCAAUCAUAUCGCACCGAAAUCCUUGACUGGGGAUAAUCAGAUCACACCUACAAGUUAAUUUGGUAAGCGUUCGUUUUCAUUGAAAGCUAGUUUCUUUCUCUGUGAUAGACACUGGACGAAGGAUUCGUUGGUCCUCUGGCGCUGGAGCUCGAACUUUUGCCAUGGACGAAUCCAGAGAAGGAGAAAUCUAUAAAACGACCGAAUUUGUAGUCAAUUUCAAGCACUUCCAUUCUUUCUGCUCUCCA